RNAcentral lists this ribosomal RNA (497 nucleotides) under uncultured bacterium. Its description in RNAcentral is "partial 16S ribosomal RNA". It matches the Rfam family "Bacterial small subunit ribosomal RNA", at positions 28 to 507 of the family's 1533-position model. The record is from RNAcentral.
GAUGAACGCUGGCGGCGUGCCUAAUACAUGCAAGUCGAGCGAACCGACGAGGAGCUUGCUCCUCUGACGUUAGCGGCGGACGGGUGAGUAACACGUGGAUAACCUACCUAUAAGACUGGGAUAACUUCGGGAAACCGGAGCUAAUACCGGAUAAUAUAUUGAACCGCAUGGUUCAAUAGUGAAAGACGGUUUUGCUGUCACUUAUAGAUGGAUCCGCGCCGGAUUAGCUAGUUGGUAAGGAAACGGCUUACCAAGGCAACGAUGCGUAGCCGACCUGAGAGGGUGAUCGCACACACGGGAACUGAGACACGGUCCAGACUCCUACGGUAGGAAGCAGUAGGGAAUCUUCCGCAAUGGGCGAAAGCCUGACAGAGCAACGCCGCGUGAGUGAUGAAGGUCUUCGGAUCGUAAAACUCUGUUAUUAGGAAAGAACAAAAGUGUAAGUACCUAUGCACGUCUUGACGGUACCUAAACAGAAAGCCACGGCUAACUACGUG